GGCCCGCGGCCCCGCUGCCUGCCCUGCUCCAGGCUCCACCUGCGCCGCCGAUCGCCCGGGUAUCGCGGGGGCCCAGGCCAGCUGAGUCCGUUUUCCGCGCCGGGGUGGCGCCCCUCCAACCGUCCUAACGCCGGGCCGGCAGCAAGGAGUGUUCCUGGGACCUCAGAGACCAGGCUCAGAGCCUGACAUCCCUGCGAGGGGACAGCCUCAUCCGCCCAGGCCAGUGGGGGUCUCUACAAGUGCCCAGGCUCAGGUGCAGCCCCCAGCAAUGCAUCGCCGGAGACUGGCCCUGGGUCUGGGGUUCUGCCUGUUGGCGGGCACAAGCCUCAGUGUCCUGUGGGUGUAUCUUGAGAACUGGCUGCCAGUCUCCUAUGUCCCCUAUUAUCUCCCCUGCCCAGAGAUCUUCAUCCUUGCAGCCCCCUGCAUGGUCUGACCGUCCACAUGUUGCACAGCUGUGAGCCUUGCUUGCUGUGUCUGGCCACUGAGAACACAGAGUGCAAAGAUGCCCAUAAACAGCCUGCUGUUGCUCCCGGUGACCAGCAGGGGUUGUGUUCAGUGCUUUUAGGACUUGACCUUGUUGCUCAAUUUUGUGUUCCAUGGAUUCAAGGAACAAAUGAACAUGUGACCAAA
This 630-nucleotide long non-coding RNA is filed under the name Homo sapiens (human). Its description in RNAcentral is "non-protein coding lnc-RALGDS-4:1". The record is from RNAcentral. Lineage: Eukaryota; Metazoa; Chordata; Mammalia; Primates; Hominidae.